RNAcentral lists this ribosomal RNA (301 nucleotides) under uncultured bacterium. RNAcentral describes it as "partial 16S ribosomal RNA". It matches the Rfam family "Bacterial small subunit ribosomal RNA", at positions 509 to 807 of the family's 1533-position model. The record is from RNAcentral.
CAGUCGCCACGGUAAUACGGAGGAUCCAAGCGUUAUCCGGAAUCAUUGGGUUUAAAGGGUCCGUAGGCGGUCUUGUAAGUCAGUGGUGAAAGCCCAUCGCUCAACGGUGGAACGGCCAUUGAUACUGCAGGACUUGAAUUAUUGGGAAGUAACUAGAAUAUGUAGUGUAGCGGUGAAAUGCUUAGAGAUUACAUGGAAUACCAAUUGCGAAGGCAGGUUACUACCAAUUGAUUGACGCUGAUGGACGAAAGCGUGGGUAGCGAACAGGAUUAGAUACCCGUGUAGUCCCUGUCUCUUAUAC